AAGUCGUAACAAGGUAACCGUAGGUGAACCUGCGGUUGGAUCAUUAGUGGUUUUUACGUAGCGCUGUUGUAGUGUUUCUGGGGGGUUUUCUUUGGUUUUGUGUGUUUGUCUGUUUUUGUCUUUUUGUUUCUGUUUUUGUGCAUUGCCUUGUGCUGCCUUGUGCGGUGCCGUGGCAGUACAAACGGAUCGACGGCAACACUCGGACCAGACCCAAGAACCCUUGCAGACAAUAGACGUCUUUGCUUGCUUUGAUGAAACCAAAUCAAAAACAACUUUUGACAACGGAUCUCUUGGCUCUC
This 299-nucleotide unclassified non-coding RNA is filed under the name fungal sp. RNAcentral's name for it is "partial internal transcribed spacer region". The stretch from base 1 to 46 matches the Rfam family "Eukaryotic small subunit ribosomal RNA", at positions 1786 to 1831 of the family's 1831-position model. The record is from RNAcentral. Lineage: Eukaryota; Fungi.